AUAUCGUAUAGGGUUAAACCAGAAGGUUCUGCGGUUCAGCUUGUGGUCAAUGAAGGAAGUCAAGGCAUCUCUCGGACGUUUUGGGAAGAAUCUGCAUUUCAUUACAAUGCAUUGUCGUGGAAUCUAAUUGAGGGGAGUGGUAUGAUUGAAUUGAAGAUG
Camelina sativa (false flax) is the source of this 159-nucleotide non-coding RNA. NCBI's taxonomy places the organism in Eukaryota, Viridiplantae, Streptophyta, Magnoliopsida, Brassicales, Brassicaceae. The record is from RefSeq and is a predicted model, not a curated record.